Osmia bicornis bicornis is the source of this 663-nucleotide long non-coding RNA. RefSeq lists it as uncharacterized. The record is from RefSeq and is a predicted model, not a curated record. NCBI's taxonomy places the organism in Eukaryota, Metazoa, Arthropoda, Insecta, Hymenoptera, Megachilidae. The transcript has 3 exons.
GGUUAAUUUGAGAGAAAAUAUUUUACGGCUGCCCAAAUGGUUAAGCUGAUGAACGAUAGCAAUUUCAAUUCUGACCCGAUACCUUUAACCUGGCGACUGCUAUCGGUUAUCCAUUACGAGCUUAAACGAGGUCACUGCUGCAAGAAACGAUAUUGCACCGCGUCAGACUUUCAAUCCCUUUCAUAUGCAAUGAUGGAUUGUUUGAUGAGAACUUGUGAGAAAGUGAAAUAAGGAUGGAUACUCUAAAUGGCCCUCUGGUGGUGAAUUCAUGAAGUAGCGCUAUAGUAAUCCACCUUGGAUCCCACUGAUCCUAAGAGGACACUCUAAUAAUCCACUGGUGGCAAAAACAGGAGAAAAUUUAUCUGGGAGAUAAACAAGGAGCCUGGAAAUUUCUUAUGCAUGCUGAAGAAUGAUCUGAAAAUUGGGAAAUUUUUAGAAGAAAGUUUUUCACCUUUGGAAGUAGGAAAUUUAUUUCUUAAUACUUUAACAGCUGCCCACAUAAUUCUACAAUUAUUGAUAAAGAAUUAUAUUUGAAAGCUUAAUUUAGCCCACUCUAUGAAAUUAUUAAAUUUCAAAUUGCAAUUUGCAUCAAAUAGAGUAGAGGUUGGAUAUUAAAAUCAGGAAUACCUGACAGCAAGCAUUAAAGUGUUGAAACGAAGGAAA